GGUGAGUAACACGUGGGCAAUCUGCCCUGCACUCUGGGACAAGCCCUGGAAACGGGGUCUAAUACCGGAUAUGACCGUCUGCCGCAUGGUGGAUGGUGUAAAGCUCCGGCGGUGCAGGAUGAGCCCGCGGCCUAUCAGCUUGUUGGUGAGGUAGUGGCUCACCAAGGCGACGACGGGUAGCCGGCCUGAGAGGGCGACCGGCCACACUGGGACUGAGACACGGCCCAGACUCCUACGGGAGGCAGCAGUGGGGAAUAUUGCACAAUGGGCGAAAGCCUGAUGCAGCGACGCCGCGUGAGGGAUGACGGCCUUCGGGUUGUAAACCUCUUUCAGCAGGGAAGAAGCGAAAGUGACGGUACCUGCAGAAGAAGCGCCGGCUAACUACGUGCCAGCAGCCGCGGUAAUACGUAGGGCGCAAGCGUUGUCCGGAAUUAUUGGGCGUAAAGAGCUCGUAGGCGGCUUGUCACGUCGGUUGUGAAAGCCCGGGGCUUAACCCCGGGUCUGCAGUCGAUACGGGCAGGCUAGAGUUCGGUAGGGGAGAUCGGAAUUCCUGGUGUAGCGGUGAAAUGCGCAGAUAUCAGGAGGAACACCGGUGGCGAAGGCGGAUCUCUGGGCCGAUACUGACGCUGAGGAGCGAAAGCGUGGGGAGCGAACAGGAUUAGAUACCCUGGGUAGUCCAC
This 680-nucleotide ribosomal RNA is filed under the name Streptomyces violascens. RNAcentral describes it as "bacterial SSU rRNA". It matches the Rfam family "Bacterial small subunit ribosomal RNA", at positions 105 to 798 of the family's 1533-position model. Lineage: Bacteria; Bacillati; Actinomycetota; Actinomycetes; Kitasatosporales; Streptomycetaceae. The record is from RNAcentral.